GGAGGCAUAGUCUCAGUUGGUUAGAGCGCUCGCUUCACAUGCGAGAGGUCAGGGGUUCAAGUCCCUUUGUCUCCACCA
Molecule: transfer RNA, 78 nt
Filed under: Clostridiales bacterium
Lineage: Bacteria; Bacillati; Bacillota; Clostridia; Eubacteriales
Description: tRNA-Val
Rfam family: tRNA
About the family: Transfer RNA (tRNA) molecules are approximately 80 nucleotides in length. Their secondary structure includes four short double-helical elements and three loops (D, anti-codon, and T loops).
Source: RNAcentral